UACAGAGGUCUCAAGCGUUGUUCGGAUUCAUUGGGCGUAAAGGGUGCGUAGGUGGCGUCGUAAGUCAGGUGUGAAAUCUCGGGGCUUAACUCCGAAACUGCAUUCGAUACUGCCGUGCUUGAGGACUGGAGAGGUGACUGGAAUUCAUGGUGUAGCAGUGAAAUGCGUAGAGAUCAUGAGGAAGACCAGUGGCGAAGGCGGGUCUCUGGACAGUUCCUGACACUGAGACACGAAGGCCAGGGGAGCAAACGGG
This 253-nucleotide ribosomal RNA is filed under the name uncultured bacterium. RNAcentral describes it as "partial 16S ribosomal RNA". It matches the Rfam family "Bacterial small subunit ribosomal RNA", at positions 524 to 776 of the family's 1533-position model. The record is from RNAcentral.